Molecule: long non-coding RNA, 773 nt
Filed under: Monodelphis domestica (gray short-tailed opossum)
Lineage: Eukaryota; Metazoa; Chordata; Mammalia; Didelphimorphia; Didelphidae
Description: lncRNA (ENSMODG00000033252.2)
Source: RNAcentral
AGAGGAGAUUGCCAUGAGCAUAGUCAGUCUAUUCUCAAGUUUUCAUGGACAGCUAAGCUUCCAGUUAGUAAGGAUAAGGUACAAAUAUACUUAGACAAAGCAUGACUGAUAAAUGACAGUUUGUCUGCUGCAAUAAUGUCCUCAUUUUAAGGCACUAUCAAGCUAGACACACCUCUUCAUCAUUAGAAACCUUCUAGAAACCUGACAUGGCCUUAGGGCCAUUUCAUCUUCAUGGGAAUUCACCUUUCCCAUACAAACUGAAUGAAAUUACUUCUAGUAGCACUCUAACAAAUGCUUGUUGAUUUGAUGUUUAUGGUUCAACUACAAGAUGCUGAAAUUGAUGGGUCACCUUUAUGCCUUUCCAAGAAUGAAUGAUCCCUUCAAUCAGUCAGAUGAGGAAACUGAUGCAAAUAGGAUUAUGUGAUUUGUCCAGGAAAAAAAAAGUAACUUUCCCAGGGAAAAAAAUAACCCUAUUUAUGUGGCUGAGGAUCAUGUAAAUAUUUUUUUUUCUUUUUUAAGAAGAGGAAGAUUAUCUGUGGCUGUUGAUCAUUUGCACCCCCAAUAGUUGUCAUUCAGAGAAGUAAACAGAAGUAAAAAGGUUGUGUAUAUGUGUCAAGGUCUUGGCUUUUGAAUGUUUCAGUCCACUCCCUCUCUUGUCAUAUCUGACCCCAAAUGAUGAAUAUUCAUUGAUGUCUAGCAGAGGUGAAAGGCAAUUUCACCUGUCAAAAGAGAAAGGUAAUAAAAAAAGGGUGAUCCUCUCCCUAAGCCUCUCU